This 492-nucleotide ribosomal RNA is filed under the name uncultured bacterium. RNAcentral's name for it is "partial 16S ribosomal RNA". It matches the Rfam family "Bacterial small subunit ribosomal RNA", at positions 29 to 507 of the family's 1533-position model. The record is from RNAcentral.
AGUGAACGCUGGCGGUAGGCCUAACACAUGCAAGUCGAACGGCAGCACAGUAAGAGCUUGCUCUUACGGGUGGCGAGUGGCGGACGGGUGAGGAAUACAUCGGAAUCUACUUUUUCGUGGGGGAUAACGUAGGGAAACUUACGCUAAUACCGCAUAUGACCUACGGGUGAAAGCAGUGGAUCUUCGGACCUUGCGCGAUUGAAUUAGCCGAUGUCGGAUUAGCUAGUUGGCGGGGUAAAGGCCCACCAAGGCGACGAUCCGUAGCUGGUCUGAGAGGAUGAUCAGCCACACUGGAACUGAGACACGGUCCAGACUCCUACGGGAGGCAGCAGUGGGGAAUAUUGGGCAAUGGGCGCAAGCCUGAUCCAGCCAUACCGCGUGGGUGAAGAAGGCCUUCGGGUUGUAAAGCCCUUUUGUUGGGAAAGAAAAGCAGCAGGUUAAUACCCCGCUGUUCUGACGGUACCCAAAGAAUAAGCACCGGCUAACUUCGUG